UAAACGUCCCAGUUCGGAUUGCAGCCUGCAACUCGGCUGCAUGAAGCUGGAAUCGCUAGUAAUCGCGGAUCAGAAUGCCGCGGUGAAUACGUUCCCGGGUCUUGUACACACCGCCCGUCACACCAUGGGAGUAGGUAAUGCCCGAAGUCGGUGACCUAACCGGAAGGAGGACGCCGCCGAAGGUGGGGUUGAUGAUUAGGGUUAAGUCGUAACAAGGUAUC
This 221-nucleotide ribosomal RNA is filed under the name uncultured bacterium. Its description in RNAcentral is "partial 16S ribosomal RNA". It matches the Rfam family "Bacterial small subunit ribosomal RNA", at positions 1277 to 1500 of the family's 1533-position model. The record is from RNAcentral.